GAGGACGCAGGGGAGCCUAGCAGAGAUUUCAACUCCUCAGCCUCAGAGACCCAGCAAUCAAAUGCCCCGACUCCCUGCCAAGCCAGUCUCCCUGCAGGUGACAAAGCCGCAGGUCAGCCAGUUUCAAGAAGAUUUGCAAGGGUGCAAAAGACUAUUUUGAGGCGAACAAGACGCCGGCGCCAUAGGAGGCGAAAGAGAAAACCCUCCAGGAAGAUUCUGAGAACCUUUGCGAGAGAUGGGAGAAAGCCCUCACUUGAGGACUGCCAUCUGCUCAACGUGGAGCCGUCUACCAGUGAUCCUGAGCAAGAAGAAGAGGUCACACCGAGCACUAGCGUCUCCACUAGUGACUAGGCCAGCGCAGGGUCUCAGCAUGGUCAAGAGAUCUUAGCGCUGAGUCAUGUCCAGUCAUGGACAUUGACAGUUACCUUGACCAUUACCACAGAGUCCUCUUAUGGUGCUGAAAAUAAAAGCAAUCGGAUGACAGCA
Long non-coding RNA from Peromyscus eremicus (cactus mouse), 486 nucleotides. RefSeq lists it as uncharacterized. The transcript is spliced from 2 exons. The record is from RefSeq and is a predicted model, not a curated record. Lineage: Eukaryota; Metazoa; Chordata; Mammalia; Rodentia; Cricetidae.